Non-coding RNA from Paramuricea clavata, 250 nucleotides. NCBI's taxonomy places the organism in Eukaryota, Metazoa, Cnidaria, Anthozoa, Malacalcyonacea, Plexauridae. The record is from the annotation of a GenBank genome assembly.
CUGUGUUGGUGUAGUGUACUCAGGUGAUUAUGAUAUUUGUGGUGUUACUCUGAGUGUAUAUCCACACCGGGCGAGCUUGAAAAAUAUGCCCGGCCACGGUGGGAUUCGAACCUACGACCUUUGGAAUACUAGCCCAAUGCUCUUCCAACUGAGCUACGCGGUCAGGACGGUUCGAGUAAGUGAUAUUUCGGAACAGAAUCUAGUUCCUUCGAUACCAAUGUAUUCUAGUAAUAUGAAUUUUUUUUUUUUU